UGCAAUGAUGUCGUAAUUUGCGUCCUACCUAACAUUAUGCGACAGUUGCCUGCUGUCAUUAUGCUGGUGUGAAUGUGUGACGAAAAUAUUUAACUGAGCA
Pelobates cultripes (western spadefoot toad) is the source of this 100-nucleotide non-coding RNA. Lineage: Eukaryota; Metazoa; Chordata; Amphibia; Anura; Pelobatidae. The record is from the annotation of a GenBank genome assembly.